CUACGGGUGGCUCCAGUGGGGAAUAUUGCACAAUGGGCGCAAGCCUGAUGCAGCCAUGCCGCGUGUAUGAAGAAGGCCUUCGGGUUGUAAAGUACUUUCAGCGGGGAGGAAGGGAGUAAAGUUAAUACCUUUGCUCAUUGACGUUACCCGCAGAAGAAGCACCGGCUAACUCCGUGCCAGCAGCCGCGGUAAUACGGAGGGUGCAAGCGUUAAUCGGAAUUACUGGGCGUAAAGCGCACGCAGGCGGUUUGUUAAGUCAGAUGUGAAAUCCCCGGGCUCAACCUGGGAACUGCAUCUGAUAAUGGCAAGCCUGAGUCUCGUAGAGGGGGGUAGAAUUCCAGGUGUAGCGGUGAAAUGCGUAGAGAUCUGGAGGAAUACCGGUGGCGAAGGCGGCCCCCUGGACGAAGACUGACGCUCAGGUGCGAAAGCGUGGGGAGCAAACAGGAUUAGAUACCCUAGUAGUC
Molecule: ribosomal RNA, 464 nt
Filed under: uncultured bacterium
Lineage: Bacteria
Description: partial 16S ribosomal RNA
Rfam family: Bacterial small subunit ribosomal RNA
Source: RNAcentral